Long non-coding RNA from Brienomyrus brachyistius, 315 nucleotides. RefSeq lists it as uncharacterized. The record is from RefSeq and is a predicted model, not a curated record. The transcript has 3 exons. NCBI's taxonomy places the organism in Eukaryota, Metazoa, Chordata, Actinopteri, Osteoglossiformes, Mormyridae.
UCCCCAGGUCCUCAGAGUCAUGGCUCUGUGUAGGUUCUAUGUAGGUUCUGUGUAGGUUCUAUGUAGGCUCUGUGUAGGUUCUGUGAAGGUUAUUUGUAGGCUCUGUGUAGGCUCUGUGUAGGUUCUGUGUGUAGGCUCUGUGUAGGUUCUGUGUGUAGGCUCUGUGUAGGUUCUGUGUGUAGGCUCUGUGUAGGUUCUGUGUGUAGGCUCUGUGUAGGUUCUGUGUAGGCUCUGUGUAGGUUCUGUGUAGCCUUUUAACAAAUAUACCCGUGUUGUCAUAUCAUCCAAUGUGGUUCAUGGAAGUAGGUAAGGGAC